This 468-nucleotide ribosomal RNA is filed under the name uncultured bacterium. RNAcentral's name for it is "partial 16S ribosomal RNA". It matches the Rfam family "Bacterial small subunit ribosomal RNA", at positions 28 to 507 of the family's 1533-position model. The record is from RNAcentral.
GACGAACGCUGGCGGCGUGCUUAACACAUGCAAGUCGAACGGAAAGGCCCUGCUUUUGUGGGGUGCUCGAGUGGCGAACGGGUGAGUAACACGUGAGUAACCUGCCCUUGACUUUGGGAUAACUUUAGGAAACUGGUGCUAAUACCGGAUAGGAGCUCCUGUUGCAUGGUGGGGGUUGGAAAGUUUCGGCGGUUGGGGAUGGACUCGCGGCUUAUCAGCUUGUUGGUGGGGUAGUGGCUUACCAAGGCUUUGACGGGUAGCCGGCCUGAGAGGGUGACCGGCAUAUCUAGAACUACUAUACGGCCCAGACUCCUACGGGUGGCAGCAGUGGGGAAAAUUGCAAUAUGGGCGGAAGCCUGAUGCAGCAACGCCGCGUGCGGGAUGACGGCCUUCGGGUUGUAAACCGCUUUCGCCUGUGACGAAGCGUGAGUGACGGUAAUGGGUAAAGAAGCACCGGCUAACUACGUG